RNAcentral lists this ribosomal RNA (505 nucleotides) under uncultured archaeon. RNAcentral's name for it is "bacterial SSU rRNA". It matches the Rfam family "Archaeal small subunit ribosomal RNA", at positions 372 to 879 of the family's 1478-position model. The record is from RNAcentral.
AGGGCUAUCGCGAGUGCCAUCCGCUGAGGAAGGCUUUUACCCAGUCUAGAACGCUGGGGGAAUAAGGAGAGGGCAAGUCUGGUGUCAGCCGCCGCGGUAAUACCAGCUCUCCGAGUGGUGUGGAUGUUUAUUGGGCCUAAAGCAUCCGUAGCUGGCUAGGUAAGUCCCUUGUUAAAUCCACCGAAUUAAUCGUUGGAUCGCGGGGGAUACUACUUGGCUAGGGGACGAGAGAGGCAGACGGUAUUUUCGGGGUAGGGGUGAAAUCCUAUAAUCCCGGGAAGACCACCAGUGGCGAAGGCUGUCUGCUAGAACGCGCCCGACGGUGAGGGAUGAAAGCUGGGGGAGCGAACCGGAUUAGAUACCCGGGUAGUCCCAGCUGUAAACGAUGCAGACUAGGUGUUUGGACGGCCACGUGCCGUUCUAGUGCCGCAGGGAAGCUGUUAAGUCUGCCGCCUGGGGAGUACGAUCGCAAGAUUGAAACUUAAAGGAAUUGGCGGGGGAGCAC